RNAcentral lists this ribosomal RNA (460 nucleotides) under uncultured bacterium. RNAcentral describes it as "partial 16S ribosomal RNA". It matches the Rfam family "Bacterial small subunit ribosomal RNA", at positions 338 to 795 of the family's 1533-position model. The record is from RNAcentral.
CCUACGGGGGGCAGCAGUGAGGAAUAUUGGUCAAUGGGCGCGAGCCUGAACCAGCCAAGUAGCGUGAAGGAUGACGGCCCUACGGGUUGUAAACUUCUUUUGUAAGGGAGUAAAGUGAGGCACGUGUGCCUGUUUGUAUGUACUUUAUGAAUAAGGAUCGGCUAACUCCGUGCCAGCAGCCGCGGUAAUACGGAGGAUCCGAGCGUUAUCCGGAUUUAUUGGGUUUAAAGGGAGCGUAGAUGGGUGGUUAAGUCAGUGGUGAAAGUUUGCGGCUCAACUGCAAAAUUGCAAUUGAUACUGGUAGGCUUGAGUGCAGUUGAGGUAGGCGGAAUUCGUGGUGUAGCGGUGAAAUGCUUAGAGAUCACGCAGAACUCCGAUUGCGAAGGCAGCUUACCAAGCUGCCACUGACAUUGAUGCUCGAAAGUGUGGGUAUCAAACAGGAUUAGAUACCCCAGUAGUC